This 8834-nucleotide long non-coding RNA is filed under the name Nicotiana benthamiana. RNAcentral describes it as "long non-coding RNA (NBEN_LNC040171)". The record is from RNAcentral. Lineage: Eukaryota; Viridiplantae; Streptophyta; Magnoliopsida; Solanales; Solanaceae.
AAACAAAAGGAUGAAACCUCUUAAUUCGAAUUCGCCACCUAACUUGAAAGCCCAAAUUUAGAGCUCAAUUUUAUUUCAAUGCCAUCAUACCCAAUAUUUAAUGAGUAGAUUGAGAUCCUCCACAUCCUUGGGCCUCAGACGAGCCCAAUAUUAAAGCAGUAAGCUGUAGUUUAGGCUUAAUUUCAACCUUUAGAUUAAAAUUUAUAGUAGCACACUAGGCCUUUCUUUUAGUAAAGGCUACUACAAAUCAAUGCAAACAAAUAUGGAGGGCAAUGAUCGAACUAGAAUAGUCAUUAACUAAGCCAUUAAAUUCAUGCAGACUCAAUAUGCAUAAGUGUAGAUUUCGUGGUUCAAAACUCGCGUGCCUGUUCAAUUCAACUCAAUGAACAUGUCCUCAAUCAACUAUUAAGACUACAGUGACAUUUAUUUUUACUAAUAUCCUAAUAUGUUCAAACUAUAGCUUUUAGAACAGGUCCACAUUUCUAUACAAGCGAUGGAAACCUGGAAUGAAUCAGUCAUGACCUGCUAUAGUAGUCUAGAUCUAACUAUUACAUACAACAAUCAAAUGGCUUACAAUAAACUCAAAACACUUAACUAGACUCGAAACAGUCCAGUCCAAGUUAUACAGUCCAAUUUUAUGUGUGUACAAACCAAAAUAAAACUACAUUAACCUAUUACAUAUCAUUUAAGGUUCAUUUGACCAUUUAACAUCGCAAUCCAAACAAGUACAGUUCAAGGAGCAGGUGUAGGACACUUUUCAUUUCAUUUUCACUCAAAAGCUACACCAAGUGAAGUUCAUAUAUGUACCUGGAAUUACAAUGAAACAAAGGAAGAGGUCAGCAGUGACAAUAUAGCAGUCGAAACUCAAUAGUAAAACCACAGCAGCAGGACUAAUUUGGAAGCCAAACUUGCAUCAACCUAACAUAAACCAAACAUAGCCUUUGAUUGAACCCAAAUACACUCGAAAUUGAAACCAUUAAACUUCUAAAGUAUUAACACCUCAAACACAUGUUUAGAUCAUUCUCAUCUUAUUUAGCCUAGAUAUUCAAAUUGACAGCUAGAAAUUGAAACUAAUAUGAGGGAAAAACUUGAAUAACACAGUAUUUAUGGGAAUAUUUUGAAGCUUUUGGGUCUAAAAGAGCUUUCCAACUCUAAAUUGCAGAUCUAGCUUUUGGAGCUUAAAAUUCAAACUUUCAGAGAUUUUCAUAACUCUAAACCUCUGGGAAUCUGGAAAUUUUAGGAAAGCUUAAAGGAUUUUUCAGACUUUUUGGGAGUUUUUAGGGGUCAAAAGCUUGGGAAUUUUCCGGAAUUUCUAACUUUUGGAAUCUUUCAGAAUCUGGAAUUUUUUGGGUUUUUCUCAAGAUUUUUCAUACUUCCAAAACUUGUGGAAGAAUGCAAUGGUUUGCUCUUUUUAUAUGCUAAACUUAUGGCAACUCUUUCUAUUUUGUUUUACCCAUUAGUCCCUCCCUUAUUUUUCAGAUUUACUCAAUUAGUCCUUUUAACCCUGACUUGUGCCUCAAGUUAUAUCCAUAAAAGCCUGAAAUUCAAAUUUGAACCCUAUUCUAAAAUGUUCUAGAUUCAACUACAACAUUGUGUUCUAUUUAGGAAUACCUACACUACCCCUUAUUCAAUUUGACAUUUACUAACCUAGUACUCACUACACCCCAACCACUUUUACCUUGGUUUAAAUUAUCAGCUAUAACCAAACAGUCAUAACAUCUGAAUUAAUGGACUCAAAUAACUCUAAUUAGGAACAGAAUUAACAAACUACAGUUCAAAUCGGCAAGUACUACUAGUAAGUCUAAAAUUCCACAUAAGAAUUAGUUAAAUGCCAUUGAAUCAUGAAUCAGAACUAACUUAACAUAAACACAAUCAUCUUAAAACCCUAAAUUAAUCCUAAAACGUGCCAGAAUUUCAAAUUUAAAAUGAAACAAAUCAGAACAAGACUAAACUAAAAAUCAAAACAAGCAUGGAAUAAAAGAACAUUAAUUAUAAAAACACAAUUAAGCUUACAAAAAGGAAACAGAACUCAUGAUAAUCAGGAAAAGAAGAAAAGAAAGGAAGAAAGAUUAAGCAUAAAACUUACAGAUUUAAGACUAGUGUGAUUGCUCUCGAAUUUGGUCCCCAAGUAAUGUUGUGUGUUUGUUCUGUAUAAGAACAAACCCUCAACAUUACUUUUGAACCGAUUUGAACUCCAAUUCUCCAGAGAAAUUUGACAGCUUUGAGAAGACUCCUAGAUCUAAAAUUCGAGGGGCUCAGCUUGGUUAUGAAUGAUUUUGGCUUCGGAUUUGGUAAGAGGGGGUUGAGGAUAGUACAGGGUGUGAAUUUGGUUGGGUUUGGAGGAUUAUAGGGUUGACCACCUUUCUUUGAUUCGAUAUUUGAAUUGCUUGGUUGGGAUUUGAAGGAGGAGGAGUUUGGAUUUGGAAAGGGGAAGGAGAGAGGAGGCCAUGGUGUUUUUUGGGUGGCUAUUGGAGCCAGCGCCGUCGUGGAUGGCAGAACAACCAACCUUUUGAUCGACGAUUUGAGAAGAAGGGUAUUCGAAGGUUGAUACUUGGGGCGUUGGAAAGAGAAGGAGGAGGGGAAUCAGGGGUGUAUUUUUGGAGUUGAUAGGAGAUUGGCCGCAGGCGGUGGACGACGAAAGGACGGUGGCUUUAGGGUGGCGUUACACCGGCGUUAUCAGGGUAUUUUUGGAAAUGGCUUGGGGGUGGGGGGGUGUAUCCGACAUUUAUAUAGCCCAUAACCUCAUUAGUUCUCGUCCGCCAGAUGCAAAAGAAUUGAUGUUGUGAUUGAUCUUGAGAAAAACGAGGUCGUUUUGAUCAUGGGAUGCUCCGGGUAAAAUUUUGGCUGGAUGGGUAUUUGAACGGGUUGGGGGGUUUGGGCUAGGAAGUUGUAUCCGAAACAGGCCCAAUUUCUUUCUUUUUAUUUUUUUUCUUCUUUUUCUCUUUUUAAUUAAUUAAUUCUUCAAAUAUAAAAAUCAGAUUUAAAUUCUAUGAUUAAAAAUAAUUAGUUUCAAAAAAAGCCUAAAUCCUAGUUUUAAAUAGAAAACUAAGUAAACGUAAACAUGACUACUAUUUUUUUUUUGUUAUUUUCUCUUAUUUUUAUAAUGUCAAAUACUAAUAAUCCUAACAAAAAUGAAAAAUUGGAUCCUAAAUGCAAUAGUACUAUUUUUUAUAUAAUAUGAAUCAUAUUAAUUAAAAAUGCACAAAAAUGAAAAUAAGCACAAAAAUCAUACAAUUAAUUCCCUAAAAAUUCAAAUAAUAAAAGAAAAAAAUCCUAAUUUUAAGAAUUCUAUAGGAUUAUUUCAAUCGAGGCAAAAAUCACGUGCUCACAGCAGAUGGAAGCCAAAAGAGGAUGAAUCCAGUGUUGUUGUGGGCAAUGUACUCAAAGCAAAGUGGAAUUUAUAGGGACAUCUAGUUUACCUUUUAAAAAUAGUUCUAGUAUUCAUUUAGAAAAUACUAUUUUUGUAUCGUCUAUGAGAUGGAAUCUAGUUUCAGUUUCACUUUUUGACAAACUGGUUAUUUACUUCAACAAAAUAUGAUAUUAUUAAAAUUUGUUAUGAUUCACAUUUUGUUGUUGAUACAUUUUUAAGUGAUGGUCUAUAUCGCUUGAAUGCACUAAAUGAAUUUUUUCUGCAUUGCAUGUUGAAAAUAUUGCCCACAAAAGGUUUACUAUGAAUAAAAUGUCUUACUUGUUAUGGCAUAGGCGUCUUGGUCAUAUUUAUAAAGAAAGAAUUGACCAAUUCGUAAAGAAAAAUAUUUUACCACUUCUUGAACUUAAAGAUUUUGAAACUUGUGUGGAUUGUGUUAAAGGUAAAUUGACCAAGGUUAAGAGAAAGAGUUCUACUAGGAGCUCUGAACUCUUAGAAAUUAUUCAUACUAAUAUUAGUGGACCUUAUAUACCUACUUUCAUCAAUCAUAAGCAUUUUAUUACAUUAUUGAUGACUUUUCAAGAUACUGUUAUACAUAUCUUUUAAAAUAAAUAUCUGAAGUACUUGAUAAGUUUAAAAUUGACAAGAUUGAAGUUAAGUCAAAAACGGCUUGGGAAGUCCAUUAAGAUAGUGAGGUCCGGCAGUGGUGGUGAGUACUAUAGAAAAUAUGAUAAAUCUAGUUAAUGUAUGUGGCCUUUUGCUUUAUUUUUGCUAGAAUGUUAGACAGUAGCAUAAUAUACCAUGCCAGGUACUCCUGAGCAGAAUGGUGUAGCUGAAAGACAGAAUCAUACUCUAAUGAAAAUGGUGAGAAGUAUGAUGUCAAGGACUAGCCUACUUGAUUCUCUCUGGGGUGAAGCCUUAAAAACAUCUAAUGAUAUCCUGAAUAGAGUUCCUACAAAAUCUGUUUUGGUUCAAUGGACAACCCAAAUACCUAGCUUGAAUCAUUUUCACAUUUGGGGAUUUCCAGCUGAAGUUUUUAUUUAUCCACCCACAGAAAAGAAAACUGAUCCUAAAACUACCAGUUAUUUCUUUAUAGGCAAUUGUGAUCACUCUAAAGCUUUUGGAUUUUUUUGUCUUGGUCGUGGCACUAGAAUAGUUGAAUCUAUUAAUGCAAAGUUUCUUGAGAAUGAUGCUUGCAAUUGUGAUUGUUCAUGUGGUAAGGAAAUUGUAUUGAAAGAGAAGGAAGUCAAUUUGAUUCCCCCCCUCCAAUUCGAUCUAGCGCUGAGAGCAGUUUUUCUUUGCACUAAUCAGUGUAAGAGAAGGGGCUUUUUCUCCUAAGGUGUGAUACUCACAUAGUUAACCUCAAUCACUCAUGGUAGUUGAUGAUUUGAGCGAUGCGGCUAGCAUAGAUGUAUACGUUGGAGUUCCAGGAAAUUUCCAAACCGACCUAGGUGAUUCCAUCUAUCUGCACCCGUUGGAUAAUCUCGGUGCUAUGCUUGUUUCCGUUCCUUUCAGUGGUGUUGGUUAUCAUUCAUGGAGGCGCAGUGUGUUGCAGGGGCCAUUAGUAAAAAUCAAGCUAGGGUUUAUAAAUGGUGAAUUCAAGUGUCCCGGUCCUCAGCCGCCUACAUUUUGUCAAUGGGAACGAUGUGAUGAUAUGAUGACUUCAUGGAUUCUUAAUUCCUUGUCGAAGGAAAUCGCAGACUAUUGAAUAUGCAAAUGAUGCUAUGGAGCCGUGGAUUGAACUAGAAUAUCGGUAUGAAAUCCAAAAGGAAAUAAACGAUACAUCUCAUGGAACUCUUGACAUUACCAACUACUACACCAGAUUGAAGAAACUCUAGGAAGGAGCACCUUGAGUAAAACGUUUCAAUGCACUUGCAACUGUACUGUGGUACGAAGGGAAAUUUCUACAAAGCUGAGCAGGACAAGCGACUAAUACAAGUUCUCAUGUGGUUGAAUGAAACCUACAUUGUGAUUCAGAAGCAUGUCACACCUCCAUUUGGCUACUACAAUCGCACGAAGGGCGUAAAGGGAGUUUUUCCAAUUAAAGGACAAUUGAAACGAGAUUCAAUUAUAUAAGAGAUUUGAGAGUCGCCACUUGGGAUAAUUAAUGGUGUCCCAAGUUACCGGUUUAAUCCCCCAAUCAAAGAAAUUUUGACUCUGUAAACAGUGUGCGAGCCAGAAAUCCAGGUAAGGAAUCCUGUUAACCCUAUCCCAAGUCACCGGCUUAAAUCCCGAAUUGAUGAAAGUUUGACUCUGUAUACAAUCUGCGAGCCAGAAAUCCGGUUACAGAAUCCUGUUAACCCGGGAGAAGGUGUUAGGCACUCCCGAGUUCCGUGGUUGUAGCACGGUCGCUCAACUGCUAUAUUUUGGCUUAAUUAUCUGAUUUUAGUCCCUUUUUGCCUAUGUGCCAAUUUUGGCUUUUAGCCGCUUUCUAUUAUUAUUUUUUAAAAAAAAUUGCAACGUUAUUAAAACACACCUCGAACCACGUCACAUAAAUGCACUCGUGAUUUUUGAUAUAUUUUAACGUCCUUAGGAUUUGGAUUUAGGUCACAUAAAUGAGCACCCGAAUUUAGGAAAGUACGUUAUUUAUAGAACGCGCCUAAAGCGGCUAACGUGUUAUUAACUUUGCGGGAGGCCGUGAAAAUUUGCUUAACAUCUCUUCCCAAGUUCUAGAUAUCUUUAAAGACAUAAUUAAAGAGGGUCACGCAUUCGUGAUUUUAUUUGGCGCGGCGCACCUCGACUCUAUUUUAAAGGAUAUUUAAACUAAAAGCUCGGAGUUCCAUAAACUAUUUGUUAUCUACUAUGGCUCACCUCCAAGUUAUUUCAAGAGGCUAAUUAAUAAAGAUUGAACGUAAAAGAGGCCUUAGGUAAUUGACUGAAGGCUCACGGGGGGAGGGGGGAGCGAUUCAUUCUUCCAAUGCAAGAAAACCAAUGGCCCAACUUACAGACUGGCCCUAGUUAUAUUUGAAGGAAAAUGCUCCGAUUGGGCCCAAGAAUAAGCCCACGUUCAUGAGGGCACGCCAUACAGUCUUCACGAAAGGGGCUCACAUGUGAAAUAAAUGGACUCACAAAUGAAGCCUAGCUCGGCAAUCUAAUUGCAUAUGGCACCAUUGCAAUUGGGCCAAAUGACAGCCCAAGACAUAAACAUCAAAUAUAUUUGAGGCAAAUCAUAACAUUUAGGAAAAAACUAAAAUCGAGUAAAUACUGCUAAUCUCUAAUUAAAAGGUAAAGCAAAUUUUAAGGCUAACAUGGAUUCGAAGGCAAUACCUAGUUGUAAUAACAUCUUUUUUUGCGCAAAUUAUCCACUAAUUACAAAACUCUCAAAGUUCACACAACUUGUAUCAAAAUAUGGUGCAACUAAAGCUCAUUCAAGACAAACCGACUUGAUUUAAUUACAGGUGAAUUCUUACAAGCAAUAAAGAAACUUCAUGAAGCAGCAUGACAAACAAACGAAAAAACACUUAAAUUUCAUAUUCAUUUAAGUCAUCUAAUAUUGUAUUCCCCUAAGUGUACAUUUAACACAUGAAAUUCAAAGUUAUAACCAACAUUCAACUAUAGCAGACCAAGGAUCAAACCAUAACUAUAACGAGACUAAACUUAAUAAAACAGAACCAACUCAAAUGGAAUAAAAUACACACAGCCUAGAUCUAACACUAUUGUGCCAUCUAAUUAGUCAUAUCAAAAGGGAGAUUAAUACAUGACUAACAUGACCAAAUUAGCUACAACCUACUUUGAAAAUUACAUGGAUUCAAACUUCAAAACUAUAGAGUAAAGUAAAAUAAUAGCAUAACAUGUGAUGUCCAUAAAUAAUAAUAUAUUCAUUUCCUCCUCAAGUCAUUGCUUCGAUUUACAUGCUUAAAUGGACUCCAUAAGAACUGGAAUAUACUUGGAAAUAACAAAAGAAAGCAGCGAAAUGAGGAAUUAACAGAACAGCAGCGACAGGAGCAAUACUCAGCAGCAAAACCAACACAUGAAUGGUUGAAGGACACCACUUUAAACAAUUUUGAAUUCAAACAAUAUCACCCAAAGUGCAGAAUCAAAUUUAAAAAAAAAUGACCCCAAAAAUUGAAUAUUAUACAUACUUCAACUCAUUUUUAACUAUUAAUUACUCGUCAUAGAUUGAAUUCCACAAGAAAUCUCAGUGAUUAUUCAAUGAAACAAUAGUAUUUCUGUAUUUUUAUCCUCAAGCUUGAAUGAAGCAGUAGAGUUUUACAGGUCAUGUUUCUGGUUUUUUCAGCUCUCCAAAUUUUCUAAAAUAGCAGCUUUGUUUCUGGAUUUUUCAGCCCCUCAAACCUUAUGUGUGUUUUUUUUCAGAUUUCAAGCUUCUCAUCUCUGCCUUGGAAGGAAAGUUUGAAAUGCCUUUAUAGGCAAGCACAUAGCGCAACCCUCUGUUUUUAGUUUUUCACCCUUAGUCCCUCUUUUAUUUACAUAUUCUUAACUGUUUAGUCCUUAGCAUCUUGGCUUAUUUCCCAAGUUACUACACAUAUUUGUUGAAUUUCAGAUCGAAACUCUAUCUAGAAGGUCUUAGGGAGUUCCAUUCAGUUACUAAAAUAUUCCUUAUGUAAACUACCCACACUACCCUUUCAUUCAUUCUAAAAUUACUUACCAAUCCCAUGUCAACUUAACCUAACCUUUCUAAACUAACCAUGGUUACACUAGCACUUCUGAAAAUUAAUCAGCUAGAACCAUAUUUAAGCGAAACAAAACUCUUGAAUCUUAAUUAACUACUAAACUACAAAUUUAAAAAUAUUGCAAUCAUUCAAACGAAAACUAAGAAAUGAACUCGACUAAAACCAAAAGAGAAAAUCAAACACGGGCCAGUAAUGGCAACCCAAGAAUAGGCAGAAAUGCUAAUCGAGCUUUCAAACUAAACUAAUCAGAAAAGAAAAUAAAAUUAAAGAACUAUAAUAGAAAAUCAAUUUUAAAACAAAGAAUAGCAAAAGACUUGAAAAGAGAACUUACCUAUGUGAAAUUUGAACAAAAACUGGACUUCGAUUCGGGCCUCGGAACAACAUUAACCACUUGUUCUUCAAAAAGAACAAUGAAACCAUUGUUUCGAGGCGUAAAUCCAAGACCAGACUCAAGAUCUUGGACAGAAAUCGGGCGAUUUGAACUUCUAGGGUUCAACCGCCUCUUUGAUUUAAAAUUCGAGCAGCUCUAACGAUUUUUGAAAUAUUCCAGUUAGGGGUCAGGAAUAGGAGGGUCUGUGGUGUUAUUUUUUGGCGAUUUGGAUGCGGCACCGCCGUGGGCGACGGAGCCGACGACCAUUAUUUUGAAUAUUCUACGGGCUUGAGGAACAUUCUAUGGAAGUGGGGCUCAAAUUUGGAUAGAGGAGGCCAAGGGGGAUCAGUGGUGUUAAUUCCGAAGGGUUUGGAGCUCUGCCGCUGGCGGUGGUGAUUUCCGGCCAGCAGCAUUUAGGGUUUCUGUGGGUUGGAAGGUUAGAGACGGACAUGGGGGGAUGAGUGUC